AUGUUAAAUAUACAAUAUAUCCUUAUACAAAUGAAAAAAAAAAAAAACUGUUUACAGCAUCUUAUGCUUUUAUCUUGCAGUGAAAGGCAUCUGAGAAGAUUAAUAAAAUCAAGUGAGCCACAGAGAUGGCAUCGUCCAAGAGCACAGGGAGUACAUCCAGAGGCAAUGGGUGAACUUCGUGUCCUGAAACCAAAAUCAGUUGGGAAGACUGGAAUCAAGUCUACCCUAUACAAGGCUUACACAGGUCCCCUUCCAGAUGCUGAUGUCUUGGCUUCUGGUGCAAAACUAAGUCAGAUUAAUCCCAAGCCUUUGCUGGCACACAUACUUGAUGGCAUGUCAAAAGUAGAGUUGGUCCCCUCACAAUUCAGUCCUGUACCUCAUGGCAAUCCACUUUCAUACCAAUGUCUCCCUAUAGCUGCAGGUGUUCCUGAUGUUAAUUUUCUCCCACUACCUGUGCUUGGUUAUCAGUUUGGCUGUAAUUUUAAAUUUGUGCCCACACACCAUCAAGCACUUCAUCUGGAGUCUAUAAAGGUUACCCAUAGUUCAACUUGCCGGAUUGAAGAGGCCACAAGACUACAGUCAAAAUGCACUGCUUGGGGACAAAUUUGGCAAUCAAGGUUUAUCACAAGCAAUUUGCAUUGGUGUGACUUUGUGAGUGACACAAAAUCAGAUUUCACAAUACAGAGGAUCUGGCGAGAUGAUGCCUUCAUAGCGUCAAUGAAAGACUAUGGAGCGAAUUUUGUGCCAAUAUUCAUCAAACAAAUCCAGCGUAUUGUAAAUAAACAAAAUCUGCUUUGCAAGUAAAAACUUGACUUUCAAACAAACGCAAAGUGAUGUAGAGGUAUGGACAAAUAUGAAUGUAUAUAAAAAUACAAAUAUACAAAUAUAAAAUGUAGUGUGCGUUACAACUGUGAGACUCAUUUGUGAGGAAACUUGGCUUGAUUUUCUCACAAAUGCAUGCAGGCAGAUAUUCCCACAUGCAUUAAAGCAGAUUUUCUCACAAAUGCAAUUGAGCAACUAUCUUUUCCAAAAACAGCAGAUGGCGCUGUCCGUCAAUUUAUGCUAGUCCCCUGAGACCUGAUCACCUGUUUACCUUUUCAGGGAAUACAGCAGACCAACAUGAGUUGGGAACAGGUGAGUUUCUGUCUUACUAUAUAAUUAACCAUUUAGAUGUUUUCACAAAGCGACCCUACUAUUGUCAGUGAAAUUCACAAUAAGGGCUGUAAAGUUGGUAACAUGAUUGAUUAGUUCAAAAAUCAGUCGUGACAUGGCUAAACAUUUAACUAGGCGGUCUUUCCCUAUAAAAACUGAUGCAUUCUCCAUACCUCUUAUCCUCUGUAGGAUCACGGGAUAUAGAAUAUAUACAUGUUGAUAAAAUUGUUCAAUGUAUAACAAAAAUAUUGUGUACCAAAAAAGAAUGCUUAGACAAUUUAAUUUAGUAUCAGAUAUAGCAAUAUCACCCAAGAGGUCAUUAAUUACUAAUAACAUUUUUAAAGCAAAUCACAUUAUUUAGUUCAAUAUCUAAAACUUUUUAAAUGUUUUAACACUGUGCAAUCAUUUGUGUCUAAAAUAAUUAUGUAUUUUUUAGAUAAGCAACAUGAUGAAUAUUUAUCUUCUGGUGUCACUCUUGUCCUGUGAAUUUGGGAGAAAGAUCAAGUUCAC
Cyprinus carpio carpio is the source of this 1662-nucleotide long non-coding RNA. The record is from Ensembl. Lineage: Eukaryota; Metazoa; Chordata; Actinopteri; Cypriniformes; Cyprinidae.